GACGAACGCUGGCGGCGUGCUUAACACAUGCAAGUCGAACGGAAAGGCCCUGCUUUUGUGGGGUGCUCGAGUGGCGAACGGGUGAGUAACACGUGAGUAACCUGCCCUUGACUUUGGGAUAACUUCAGGAAACUGGGGCUAAUACCGGAUAGGAGCUCCUGCUGCAUGGUGGGGGUUGGAAAGUUUCGGCGGUUGGGGAUGGACUCGCGGCUUAUCAGCUUGUUGGUGGGGUAGUGGCUUACCAAGGCUUUGACGGGUAGCCGGCCUGAGAGGGUGACCGGCCACAUUGGGACUGAGAUACGGCCCCGACUCCUACGGUAGGCAGCAGUGUGGAAUAUUUCACAAUGCGCGGAAGCCUGAUGCUGCAACGCCGCGUGCGGGAUGACGGCCUUCGGGUUGUAUACCGCUUUCGCCUGUGACGAAGCGUGAGUGACGUUUAUGGGUAAAGAAGCACCGGCUAACUACGUG
RNAcentral lists this ribosomal RNA (468 nucleotides) under uncultured bacterium. RNAcentral describes it as "partial 16S ribosomal RNA". It matches the Rfam family "Bacterial small subunit ribosomal RNA", at positions 28 to 507 of the family's 1533-position model. The record is from RNAcentral.